This 843-nucleotide ribosomal RNA is filed under the name Dolicirroplectanum lacustre. Its description in RNAcentral is "partial large subunit ribosomal RNA". It matches the Rfam family "Eukaryotic large subunit ribosomal RNA", at positions 120 to 606 of the family's 3401-position model. The record is from RNAcentral. Lineage: Eukaryota; Metazoa; Platyhelminthes; Monogenea; Dactylogyridea; Diplectanidae.
GCCUGUCUGCGUUUGUGGACAAGGCAAUGUGGUGUUUAGGUGUGUGCCUGGGGUGGUCAGUCUAUUCGAAGUCCAGCAUAGAUUAUGGCUCUGGAUUUGGUCCAUAGCGGGUGAAAGACCCGUACGGAUAGACUGUUAGGCAUGUUGACCGCCCUCAGAUGCAUUCACCUUGGAGUCGGAUAGCUUGAGAAUGCUGUCCAAAGUGGGUGGUAAACUCCAUCCAAGGCUAAAUACUGGCACGAGUCCGAUAGCAAACAAGUACCGUGAGGGAAAGUUGAAAAGUACUCUGAAGAGAGAGUAAAUAGUACGUGAAACCGCCUGUAGGGAAGCUGGUCGAGUCAAGCUGCAUGCCCUGGAAAUUAAGCAAGUGACUGUUGUGGUACUGCGGAGUGGGCGAUCGGUGGCCUUGCAAAUAGGCUGGCGGAUUUAUCCGUUCUGUGUGGUGCACUGGUUGGUGCUUAUAUGGCCGGUCGUCUUAGCUCUGAGUCGCUUGUGUCCUUUUCCUGUGGCAGACAUCACGAUCGAUAUCGUCGCUGGCACAUGGUAGUGAAACCAUUCGGAAGUGAGUCUUGUACUUGCGCCGGAUGGGACGGCAGGUAGCUCGCCUGUGAGGCCUCGGCCUCCUUGCGAGUGUUUUGCGGUUGCGACCGGCUCUCUACCAUUCUGUUAUGCAUUCAGCCAUGCGAUAUAUCGUUGAUCUUGUCGUGUUCGGGAGGUUGUGGUACCCCUUGCUGGUUGUUCAGGCAUGUCUCUGUGAAAGCAGUACGAGUCUGUGACUGGUCGGCGGGGUGGUGCUUCCAAUUGCUCGGCACAUGAAUCGUGGUGUUGUGGUAGACGUUCCAC